RNAcentral lists this transfer RNA (84 nucleotides) under Chloroflexota bacterium. Its description in RNAcentral is "Chloroflexi bacterium (hydrothermal vent metagenome) tRNA-Tyr". It matches the Rfam family "tRNA". From Rfam's summary of the family: Transfer RNA (tRNA) molecules are approximately 80 nucleotides in length. Lineage: Bacteria; Bacillati; Chloroflexota. The record is from RNAcentral.
GGGCAGGUACCCAAGUGGCCAAAGGGGGCGGGCUGUAAACCCGCUGGGCUUCGCCCUACGGGGGUUCGAAUCCCUCCCUGCCCA